Molecule: long non-coding RNA, 809 nt
Organism: Nilaparvata lugens (brown planthopper)
Lineage: Eukaryota; Metazoa; Arthropoda; Insecta; Hemiptera; Delphacidae
Exons: 3
Source: RefSeq, a predicted model, not a curated record
UUUGAGACAUCAAUUUCCUUGAGGAUAAAAAUGCAUGAGGUUGAGGAUAAAAUCUAUUGCCAAAUAACUUACCAGUGAUGAACACCUGUGCACUCAGAACAUUUUCCAGCCUAUCUUGGUCUCUGAUCUCCUUGUAUUUGAUGUGAGAAAACUGAGAGCUGAAUUAAAUAUUCAUACUUCUUAUGGCCGCUGAUGUGGAAAGCCCUGAUAUUUCCUGGAUUCUUAUAUUAUGAUGACGACUUCAUUAUCAAGAUGUAAUAAUGGACACAAAAUUGGAGAUAUGGGAGUUUCUGUUUGCUCAUUUUGGACUUGAACACUCGGAGAGGCGAUGUUCACUUCAAUUAUCCUGCUUAGAGUCCACUUCAUCAGAGCGCACAUCCUGGUUUGAGUACCGUUCUACUUUUUACAACAACUUGGACCUACCACACAGUCUUCCAAUGUUCCGACUCGUGACCACUCCACAUGUGCUACUGCUUCUAUGGUCACAGCUGACCACCACAUCUCUACCACCUCUAUGGAGAGGUGACCUCUCUACAUCUCUACUCCAUCUAUGCUGCUUCAGUCAACGUUGCCAGGUUGCUGCCGGGGUGAGUAGGCAACAUAAGACAACACACAUGUUAAAUUGUAGCAGCUUCUUCAUCAUAAAUUACUUCAUUUAAACUUCAAGAACGUCACUCUGCUUCGAUGUUUCCAUUUCUGUAUAGUGAGGUCCACGUUAUAAUGGCAGUGUUUAAUUAUCAAUUGUAAUGCUAUCCUUGUCUAUCAUUCAACAAGGCGGAUAGCGCUAUCUCUUUCUCGCUUUGCACUGU